AAAAGGCAGGGGAUGACUUGUGGAUCGGAGUGAAAGGCUAAGUCAAGCUCGGAGAUAGCUGGUUCUCCUCGAAAGCUAUUUAGGUAGCGCCUCAUGUAUCACUCUGGGGGGUAGAGCACUGUUUCGGCUAGGGGGUCAUCCCGACUUACCAAACCGAUGCAAACUCCGAAUACCCAGAAGUGCCGAGCAUGGGAGACACACGGCGGGUGCUAACGUCCGUCGUGAAAAGGGAAACAACCCAGACCGUCAGCUAAGGUCCCAAAGUCCUGGUUAAGUGGUAAACGAUGUGGGAAGGCUUAGACAGCUAGGAGGUUGGCUUAGAAGCAGCCACCCUUUAAAGAAAGCGUAAUAGCUCACUAGUCGAGUCGGCCUGCGCGGAAGAUGUAACGGGGCUCAAACCAGGCACCGAAGCUACGGGUAUCACCUCUGGUGAUGCGGUAGAGGAGCGUUCUGUAAGCCUGUGAAGGUGAGUUGAGAAGCUUGCUGGAGGUAUCAGAAGUGCGAAUGCUGACAUGAGUAACGACAAUGCGAGUGAAAAACUCGCACGCCGAAAGACCAAGGGUUCCUGCGCAACGUUAAUCGACGCAGGGUGAGUCGGUCCCUAAGGCGAGGCUGAAAGGCGUAGUCGAUGGGAAACGGGUUAAUAUUCCCGUACUUCUAGUUACUGCGAUGGGGGGACGGAGAAGGCUAGGCCAGCUUGGCGUUGGUUGUCCAAGUUUAAGGUGGUAGGCUGACUGUUUAGGUAAAUCCGGACGGUCUAGGCCGAGAGCUGAUGACGAUCCUUCUUUUAGAAGGAGAAGUGGUUGAUGCCAUGCUUCCAGGAAAAGCCUCUAAGCUUCAGGUAACUAGGAACCGUACCCCAAACCGACACAGGUGGUCGGGUAGAGAAUACCAAGGCGCUUGAGAGAACUCGGGUGAAGGAACUAGGCAAAAUGGCACCGUAACUUCGGGAGAAGGUGCGCCGGUGAGGGUGAAGGGUUUACCCCGUAAGCUCAUGCCGGUCGAAGAUACCAGGCC
This 1017-nucleotide non-coding RNA is filed under the name Corchorus olitorius. RNAcentral describes it as "Bacterial large subunit ribosomal RNA". It matches the Rfam family "Bacterial large subunit ribosomal RNA", at positions 792 to 1792 of the family's 2925-position model. Lineage: Eukaryota; Viridiplantae; Streptophyta; Magnoliopsida; Malvales; Malvaceae. The record is from Rfam by way of RNAcentral.